AUGGCUCAAGAUAAUACUAAAUUAUGUGAUUUCUCCAAUACCAAUAACAAUGAUUUUCUUAGCACUCCGAUUGCUCCUCUUACCGAUGCUGAAUCUUGUGAAAUUAAUGUUGCUUUGUUGAAUCUUUCCAUGAAAGAUCAAUUCUCUGGCCUUCCUAGUGAAGAUGCCGCUACUCAUCUAAACAACUUUGUUGAUUUGUGUGAUAUGCAAAAUAAGAAAGACGUGGAUAAUGAUAUUGUUAAAUUGAAGCUAUUUCCGUUUUCACUUAGAGAUCGUGCUAAAACUUGGUUUUUGUCUUUGCCUAAAAAUAGUAUUGAUUCUUGGAAUAAGUGCAAAGAUGCUUUUAUCUCUAAGUAUUUUCCUCCUGCUAAGAUCAUCUCUCUUAGAAACGAUAUUAUGAAUUUUAAGCAACUUGAUCAUGAGCAUGUUGCACAAUCUUGGGAGAGGAUGAAAUUAAUGAUUCGCAAUUGCCCUACACAUGGAUUAAAUUUAUUGAUGAUUACACAAUUUUUUUAUGCCGGAUUGAAUUUUGCUUUUAGAAAUCUUUUAGAUUCGGCCGCGGGAGGCACUUUUAUGGAAAUCACUUUAGGAGAAGCUACUAAACUCCUAGAUAAUAUUAUGGUUAAUUAUUCUCAAUGGCACACCGAAAGAUCUACUAGUAAAAAGGUUCAUGCGAUAGAAGAGAUUAAUGUUUUGAGUGGAAAGAUGGAUGAACUUAUGAAAUUGUUUGCUAAUAAGUGUGCUCCAUUGAUGAGUGCAAGGAAAGAACCGCUAGGAUGCGUGCUAAGAAAGAUUGCUUUGUAA
RNAcentral lists this ribosomal RNA (804 nucleotides) under Triticum aestivum (bread wheat). Its description in RNAcentral is "partial small subunit ribosomal RNA". Lineage: Eukaryota; Viridiplantae; Streptophyta; Magnoliopsida; Poales; Poaceae. The record is from RNAcentral.